UAGGGAAUCUUCGGCAAUGGACGAAAGUCUGACCGAGCAACGCCGCGUGAGUGAAGAAGGUUUUCGGAUCGUAAAACUCUGUUGUUAGAGAAGAACAAGGACGUUAGUAACUGAACGUCCCCUGACGGUAUCUAACCAGAAAGCCACGGCUAACUACGUGCCAGCAGCCGCGGUAAUACGUAGGUGGCAAGCGUUGUCCGGAUUUAUUGGGCGUAAAGCGAGCGCAGGCGGUUUCUUAAGUCUGAUGUGAAAGCCCCCGGCUCAACCGGGGAGGGUCAUUGGAAACUGGGAGACUUGAGUGCAGAAGGGGAGAGUGGAAUUCCAUGUGUAGCGGUGAGAUGCGUAGAUAUAUGGAGGAACACCAGUGGCGAAGGCGGCUCUCUGGUCUGUAACUGACGCUGAGGCUCGAAAGCGUGGGGAGCAAACAGG
Molecule: ribosomal RNA, 429 nt
Filed under: Gemmatimonadota bacterium
Lineage: Bacteria; Pseudomonadati; Gemmatimonadota
Description: Gemmatimonadetes bacterium partial 16S ribosomal RNA
Rfam family: Bacterial small subunit ribosomal RNA
Source: RNAcentral